UUCACGCGUAUUCCUAUUUAAUUGCAGAAUGCUCAUGCUCAAAAUAGCAAUGCAACCAAGCCAUGUGGUCAUCACCAAGUCACUAAGCAGGUACAUAUAGGCUACAUAUCCAAAUGACAAUGAUUGUAUAAUAGAUAGUUGGUCUAAUUAUUUGUGAAAUUGUUCUAAUUUGUUUAAAAUGAAAUCUUCUCAGGUUCAUCAAUAACAAAUGUUUCAUUUCUUGAAAAAUAGGAUAAAGUUGAAGUCGUGUUGUAUUCAAUGAACUUGAGAAACAAAGACAAACUCGUGGCCAAAGGAACUUUAGUGAGUAAAGAGAAAACAUAUGUGGUUGGAGGAAACAUGCUUGGAGUGGAAUAUGUUUCAGUUGUGGUUCGUGGUUGUACAUAUCUUGGAGAUGAGAAACUAGUUAGACCAUAUGAAAAAUUCCAAACAGUAAGGGAUGAAAGAAAUAUGCUCUAGAGGCAAUAAUAAAGUUAUUAUUUAUUUCCUUAUUUCAUGAUAAAUGUUUAUUAUUCAUGCUAGAAUUGUAUUAACCGGAAACAUAAUACAUGUGUGAAUACAUAGACAAACAGAGUGUCACUAGUAUGCCUCUACUUGACUAGCUCGUUAAUCAAAGAUGAUUAUGUUUCCUAAUCAUAGACAAAGAGUUGUUAUUUGAUUAACGGGAUCACAUCAUUAGGAAAAUGAUGUGAUUGACUUGACCCAUUCCGUUAGCUUAGCACUCGAUCGUUUAGUAUGUUGCUAUUGCUUUCUUCAUGACUUAUAGAUGUUCCUAUAACUAUGAGAUUAUGCAACUCCCAUUUACCGGAGGAACAUUUUGUGUGCUACCAAACGUCACAACGUAACUGGGUGAUUAUAAAGGAGCUCUACAGGUGUCUCCAAAGGUACAUGUUGGGUUGGCGUAUUUCGAGAUUAGGAUUUGUCACUCUGAUUGUCGGAGAGGUAUCUCUGGGCCCCUCUCGGUAAUGCACAUCACUUACGCCUUGCAAGCAUUGCAACUACUGAGUUAGUUGCGAGAUGAUGUAUUACGGAAUGAGUAAAGGGACUUGCCGGUAACAAGAUUGAACUAGGUAUUGAGAUACCGACGAUCGAAUCUCGGGCAAGUAACAUACCGAUGACAAAGGGAACAACGUAUGUUAUUAUGCGGUCUGACCAAUAAAGAUCUUCGUAGAAUAUGUAGGAGCCAAUAUGAGCAUCCAGGUUCCGCUAUUGGUUAUUGACUGAAGACGUGUCUCGGUCAUGUCUACAUUGUUCUCGAACCCGUAGGGUCCACACGCUUAAGGUUUCGAUGAUAGUUAUAUUAUGAGUUUAUGAGUUUUGAUGUACCGAAGGAGUUCGGAGUCCCGGAUGAGAUCGGGGACAUGACGAGGAGUCUCGAAAUGGUCGAGAUGUAAAGAUCGAUAUAUUGGACGACUAUAUUCGGACAUCGGAAAGGUUCCGAGUGGUUCGGGUAUUUUUCGGAGUACCAGGGAGUUACGGGAAUACGGGAGAAGAAAUAUAUGGGCCUUAUUGGGCUUUAGGGGAGAGGGAGAGGCAGGCCGCGCGCCCCCCCAUUGACUAGUCCGAAUUGGACUAGGGGGAGGGGCGGCGCCCCCUCCUUCCUUCUCUUCCCUCUUCCCCUUCCUUGUCUCCUACUCCUACUACUUGGAAGGACUCCUAGUUGGACUAGGAAAGGGGGAAUCCUACUCCCGGUGGGAGUAGGACUCCCCUAGGGCGCGCCAUAGAGAGGGCCGGCCCUCCCCUCCUCCACUCCUUUAUAUACGGGGGCAGGGGGCACCCCAUAGACACACAAGUUGAUCCUCAUGAUCGUUUUCUUAGCCGUGUGCGGUGCCCCCUUCCACCAUACUCCUCGAUAAUAUUGUAGCGGUGCUUAGGCGAAGCCCUACGACGGUAGAACAUCAAGAUCGUCACCAUGCUGUCGUGCUGACGGAACUCUUCCCCGACACUUUGCUGGAUCGGAGUCCGCGGAUCGUCAUCGAGCUGAACGUGUGCUAAAACUCGGAGGUGCCGUAGUUUCGGUGCUUGAUCGGUCGGGCCGUGAAGACGUACGACUACAUCAACCGCGUUGUCAUAACGCUUCCGCUUCCGGUCUACGAGGGUACGUAGACAACACUCUUCCCUCUCGUUGCUAUGCAUCACUAUGAUCUUGCGUGUGCGUAGGAUUUUUUUUGAAAUUACUACGUUCCCCAACAGUGACAUCCGAGCCUAGGUUUUAUGCGUUGAUGUUAUUUGCACGAGUAGAACACAAGUGAGUUCGGCGAUAUAAGUCAUACUGCUUACCAGCAUUGUCAUACUUUGGUUCGGCGGUAUUGUUGGAUGAAGCGGCCCGGACCGACAUUACGCGUACGCUUACGCGAGACUGGUUCUACCGACAUGCUUUGCACACAGGUGGCUGGCGGGUGUCAGUUUCUUCAACUUCAGUUGAACCGAGUGUGGCUACGCCCGGUCCUUGUGAAGGUUAAAACAGCACCAACUUGACAAACUAUCGUUGUGGUUUUGAUGCGUAGGUAAGAUUGGUUCUUGCUAAGCCCGUAGCAGCCACGUAAAACUUGCAACAAUAAAGUAGAGGACGUCUAACUUGUUUUUGCAGGGCAUGUUGUGAUGUGAUAUGGUCAAGACGUGAUGAGAUAUAAGUUGUUGUAUGAGAUGAUCAUGUUUUGUUGAAGCUAUCGGCAACUGGCAAAAUCCUUAUGGUUGUCUCUCUAUUGCAUAAGAUGCAAGCGCCAAAUAAUUGCUUUACUUUAUCGCUAUGCGAUAGCAAUAGUUGCAAGAGUAAUUGUUGGCAAGACGACAAUGCAACGACACAUUGAUAUAGAUCAAGAUGAUGGAGAUCAUGGUGUCAUGCCGGUGACGAUAGAGAUCAUGACAGUACUUUGGAGAUGGAGAUCAAAGGCGCAAGAUGAUCAUGGCCAUAUCAUGUCACAUAUUUUGAUUGCAUAUGAUGUUUAUCAUUUAUACAUCUUAUUUUGCUUAGUUCGACAGUAGCUUUAUAAGAUGAUCUCUCACUAAAUUUCAAGGUAUAAGUGUUCUCCCUGAGUAUGUACCGUUGCGAAAGUUCUUCGUGCUGAGACACCACGUGAUGAUCGGGUGUGAUAGGAUCUACGUUCAAAUACAACGGGUGCAAAACAGUUGCACACGCGGAAUACUCAGGUUAUACUUGACGAGCCAAGCAUAUACAGAUAUGGCCUUGGAACACGGAGACCGAAAGGUCGAGCGUGAAUCAUAUAGUAGAUAUGAUCAACAUAGUGAUGUUCACCGUUGAAACUACUCCAUCUCACGUGAUGAUCGGACAUGGUUUAGUUGAUAUGGAUCACGUAAUCACUUAGAGGAUUAGAGGGAUGUCUAUCUAAGUGGGAGUUCUUAAGUAAUAUGAUUAAUUGAACUUAAAUUUAUCAUGAACUUAGUCCUGGUAGUAUUAGCAUAUUUAUGUUGUAAAUCAAUAGCUCGCGUUGUUGCUUUCAUAUGUUUAUUUUGAUAUGUUCCUAGAGAAAAUUGUGUUGAAAGAUGUUAGUAGCAAUUAUGCGGAUUGGAUCCGUGAUCUGAGGUUUAUCCUCAUUGCUGCACAGAAGAAUUAUGUCCUUGAUGCACCGCUAGAUGACAGACCUAUUGCAGGAGCAGAUGCAGACGUUAUGAAUGUUUGGCUAGCUUAAUAUGAUGACUACUUGAUAGUUUAGUGCACCAUGCUUAACGGCUUAGAAUCGGGAAUUCAAAGACGUUUUGAACGUCAUGGACCAUAUGAGAUGUUCCAGGAGUUGAAUUUAAUAUUUCAAGCAAAUACCCGAGUUGAGAGAUAUGAAGUCUCCAACAAGUUCUAUAGCUAAAAGAUGGAGGAGAAUCGCUCAACUAGUGAGCAUGUGCUUAGAUUGUCUGGGUACUACAAUCGCUUGAAUCAAGUGGGAGUUAAUCUUCCAGAUAAGAUAGUGAUUGACAGAAUUCUCUAGUCACCAUCACCAAGUUAGUAGAACUUCGUGAUGAACUAUAGUAUGCAAGGGAUGACGAAAACGACUCCCGAGUUUUUCAUGAUGAUGAAAUCGAUGAAGGUAGAAAUCAAGAAAGAGCAUCAAGUGUUGAUGGUUGACAAGAUCACUAGUUUCAAGAAAAGGGCAAAGGGAAAAAGGGGAACUUCAAGAAGAACAACAAGCAACUUUCUGCUCAAGUGAAGAAGCCCAAGUCUGGUCCUAAGCCUGAGACUAAGUGCUUCUACUGCAAAGGGACUGGUCACUGGAAGCGGAACUACCCAAGUAUUUGGCGGAUAAGAAAGGAUGGCAAAGUAAACAAAGGUAAAUUUGAUAUACAUGUUAUUGAUGUGUACUUUACUAGUGUUCAUAGCAACCCCUCAGUAUUUGGUACUAGUUCAGUUGCUAAGAUUAGUAACUUGAAUCGGGGGUUGCAGAAUGAACAGAGACUAGUUAAGGGUAAGGUGACGAUGUGUGUUUGAAGUAGUUCCAAGAUUGAUAUGAUCAUCAUCGCACACUCCCUAUACUUUCGGGAUUAGUGUUGAACCUAAAUAAGUGUUAUUUGGUGUUUGCGUUGAGCAUAAAUAUGAUUUUAUCAUGUUUAUUGGAAUACGGUUAUUCAUUUAAGUAAGAGAAUAAAUUGUUGUUCUGUUUACAUGAAUAAAACCUUAUAUGGUUACACACCCAAUGAAAAUGGUUCGUUGGAUCUCGAUCUAGUGAUACACAUAUUCAUAAUAUUGAAACCAAAAGAUGCAAAGUUAAUAAUGAUAGUGCAACUUAUUUGUGGCACCGCCGUUUAGGUCAUAUUGGUGUAAAGCGCAUGAAGAAACUCCAUGCUGAUGGGUUUUUGGAAUCACUUGAUGCUUGCGAACCAUGCCUCAUGGGCAAGAUGACUAAAAUGCCGUUCUCCGGAACAAUGGAGCAAGCAACUGACUUAUUGGAAAUAAAACAUACUGAUGUAUGCGAUCCGAUGAGUGUUGAGGCUCACGGCAGGUAUCAUUAUUUUCUGAUCUUCACAGAUGAUCUAAGCAGAUAUGAGUAUAUCUACUUGAUGAAACACAGUCUGAAACAUAUGAAAAGUUCAAAGAAUUUCAGAGUGAAGUGGAGAAUGAUCGUAACAAAAAUAAAAGGUUUCUACGAUAUGAUCGCAGAAGUAAAAUAUUUGAGUUACGAGUUUGGCCUUCAGUUAAAAACAAUGUGAAAUAGUUUCACUACUCACGCCACCUGGAACACCACAGUGUAAUGGUGUGUCCGAACGUCAUAACCGUACAUUAUUGGAUAUAGUGCAAUCUAUGAUGUUUCUUACUGAUUUACCACUAUAGUUUUGGGGUUAUGCAUUAGAGAUAGCUGCAUUCACGUUAAAAAAGGGCACCAUCUAAAUCCGUUGAGACGGCACCGUAUGAACUGUGUUUUGGCAAGAAACCGAAGUUGUCGUUUCUUAAAGUUCGGGGUUGCAAUGCUUAUAUGAAAAAGUUUCAUCCUGAUAAGCUCAAACCCAAAUCGGAGAAGUGUGUCUUCAUAUGAUACCCAAAAUAAAAUGUUGGGUACACCUUCUAUCACAGAUCCGAAGGCAAGAUAUUCGUUGCUGAGAAUGGAUCCUUUCCAGAGAAGGAGUUUCUCUCGAAAGAAGUGAGUGGGAGGAAAGUAGAACUUAAUGAGGUAACUGUACCUGCUCCCUUAUUGGAAAGUAGUUCAUCACAGAAAUCUGUUCCUGUGACUACUACACCAAUUAGUGAGGAAGUUAAUGAUGAUGAUCAUGUAACUUCAGAUCAAGUUACUACCGAAUCUCUUAGGUAAACCAGAGUGAGAUCCGCACCAAAGUGGUACGGUAAUCCUGUUCUGGAAGUCAUGUUACUAGACCAUGAUGAACUUGCGAACUAUGAGGAAGCGAUGAUGAGCCCAGAUUCCGCGAAAUGGUUUGAGGCCAUGAAAUCUGAGAUAUGAUCCAUGUAUGAGAACAAGGUAUGGACUUUGAUGGAUUUGCCCGAUGAUCGGCAAGCCAUAGAAAUUAAAUGGAUCUUCAAGAGGAAGACGGACGCUGAUAGUAGUGUUACUAUCUACAAAGCUAGAAUUGUCUCAAAAAGGUUUUUGACAAGUUCAAGGUGUUGACUACGAUGAGAGUUUCUCACUGAUCGUAUCUAUGCUUAAGUCUGUUCGAAUCAUGUUAGCAAUUGCCGCAUUUUAUGAAAUCUGGCAAAUGGAGAAACAAAACUGCAUUCCUUAAUGGAUUUAUUAAAGAAGAGUUGUAUAUGAUGCAACCAGAAGGUUUUGUCAAUCCUAAAGGUACUAACAAUAUAUGCAAGCUCCAGCGAUCCAUCUAUGGACUGGUGCAAACAUCUCGGAAUUGGAAUAUACGCUUUGAUAAGUUGAUCAAAGCAUAUAGUUUUAUACAGACUUACGGUGAAGCCUGUAUUUACAAGAAAGUGAGUGGGAGCACUACAACAUUUCUGAUAAGUAUAUGUGAAUGACACAUUGUUGAUCGGAGAUAAUGUAGAAUUAUUCUGCAAAGCAUAAAGGAAUGUUUGAAAGGAGUUUUUCAAAUAAAGACCUCAGUGAAGCUGCUUACAUAUUGAGCAUCAAGAUCUAUAGAGAUAGAUCAAGAUGCUUGAUAAGUUUUUCAAUGAGUACAUACCUUGACAAGCUUUUGAAGUAGUUCAAAAUGGAACAGACAAAGAAGGAGUUCUUGCCUAUGUUACAAGGUGUGAAGUUGAGUAAGACUCAAAACCCGACCACGACAGAAGAUAGAGAGAGAAUGAAAGUCAUUCCCUAUGCCUUAGCCAUAGGUUCUAAAAAGUAUGUCAUGCUGUGUACCAGACCUAUUGUAUACCCUGCCCUGAGUUUGGCAAGAGAGUACAAUAGUGAUCUAGGAGUAGAUCACUGGACAUUGGUCAAAAUUAUCCUUAGUUGAAUAAGGAUAUGUUUCUCGAUUAUGGACAUGACAAAAAGGUUCGUCGUAAAGAGUUACGUCGAUGCAAAUUUUGACACUGAUCUAGAUGACUCUAAGUCUCAAUCUGGAUACAUAUUGAAAGUGGGAGCAAUUAGCUAUAGUAGCUCCAUGCAGAGCAUUGUUGACAUAGAAAUUUGCAAAAUACAUACGGAUCUGAAUAUGGCAGACCCGUUGACUAAACUUCUCUCACAGGCAAAACAUGGUCACACCUUAGUACUCUUUGGGUGUUAAUCACAUAGCGAUGUGAACUAGAUUAUUGAUUCUAGUAAACCCUUUGAGUGUUGGUCACAUAAUGAUGUGAACUAUUGGUGUUAAAUCACAUGGCAAUGUGAACUAGAUUAUUGACUCUAGUGCAAGUGGGAGACUGAAGGAAAUAUGCCCUAGAGGCAAUAAUAAAGUUAUUAUUUAUUUCCUUAUUUCAUGAUAAAUGUUUAUUAUUCAUGCUAGAAUUGUAUUAACCGGAAACAUAAUACAUGUGUGAAUACAUAGACAAACAGAGUGUCACUAGUAUGCCUCUACUUGACUAGCUCGUUAAUCAAAGAUGGUUAUGUUUCCUAACCAUAGACAAAGAGUUGUUAUUUGAUUAAAGGGAUCACAUCAUUAGGAGAAUGAUGUGAUUGACUUGACCCAUUUCGUUAGCUUAGCACUCGAUCGUUUAGUAUGUUGCUAUUGCUUUAUUCAUGACUUAUACAUGUUCCUAUGACUAUGAGAUUAUGCAACUCCCGUUUACUAGAGGAACACUUUGUGUGCUACCAAACGUCACAACGUAACUGGGUGAUUAUAAAGGAGCUCUACAGGUGUCUCCAAAGGUACAUGUUGGGUUGGCGUAUUUCGAGAUUAGGAUUUGUCACUCUGAUUGUCGGAGAGGUAUCUCUGGGCCCCUCUCGGUAAUGCACAUCACUUACGCCUUGUAAGCAUUGCAACUAAUGAGUUAGUUGCGAGAUGAUGUAUUACGGAACGAGUAAAGAGACUUGCCGGUAAUAAGAUUGAACUAGGUAUUGAGAUACCGAUGAUCGAAUCUCGGGCAAGUAACAUACCAAUGACAAAGGGAGCAACGUGUGUUGUUAUGCGGUCUGACCGAUAAAGAUCUUCGUAGAAUAUGUAGGAGCCAAUAUGAGCAUCCAGGUUCCGCUAUUGGUUAUUUACUGGAGACGUGUCUCGGUCAUGUUUACAUUGUUCUCGAACCCGUAGGGUCCGCACGCUUAAGGUUUCGAUUACAGUUAUAUUAUGAGUUUAUGAGUUUUGAUGUACCGAAGGAGUUCGGAGUCCCGGAUGCGAUUGGGGACAUGAUGAGGAGUCUCAAAAUGGUCGAGACGUAAAGAUCGAUAUAUUGGACGAUUAUAUUUGGACAUCGGAAAGGUUCGGAGUGGUUCGGGUAUUUUUCGGAGUACCGGGGAGUUACGGGAAUACGGGAGAAGAAAUAUAUGGGCCUUAUUGGGCUUUAGGGGAGAGGGAGAGGCAGGCCGCGCACCCCCCCAUUGACUAGUCCGAAUUGGACUAGGGGGAGGGGCGGCGCCCCCUCCUUCCUUCUCUUCCCUCUUCCCCUUCCUUGUCUCCUACUCCUACUACUUGGAAGGACUCCUAGUUGGACUAGGAAAGGGGGAAUCCUACUCCCGGUGGGAGUAGGACUCCCCUAGGGCGCGCCAUAGAGAGGGCUGGCCCUCCCCUCCUUCACUCCUUUAUAUACGGGGGCAGGGGGCACCCCAUAGACACACAAGUUGAUCCUCGUGAUCGUUUUCUUAGCCGUGUGCGGUGCCCCCUUCCACCAUACUCCUUGAUAAUAUUGUAGCGGUGCUUAGGCGAAGCUCUGCGACGGUAGAACAUCAAGAUCGUCACCACGCCGUCGUGCUGAUGGAACUCUUCCCCAACACUUUGCUGGAUCGGAGUCCGAGGAUCAUCAUCGAGCUGAACGUGUGCUAAAACUCGGAGGUGCCGUAGUUACGGUGCUUGAUCGGUCGGGCCGUGAAGACGUACGACUACAUCAACCGCGUUGUCAUAACGCUUCCACUUCUGGUCUACGAGGGUACGUAGACAACACUCUCCCCUCUCGUUGCUAUGCAUCACCAUGAUCUUGCGUGUGCGUAGGAAUUUUUUUGAAAUUACUACGUUCCCCAACAAGGGAUGCUAUGGGUUCGGUUAUUGCUUGGCCUCGCUCACAUGUAAGUAUGUUUUCAUUCAAGCAUUGUCUACGCUCCAAUCUGCACAUGUGUGAUAUGUUAUUUAUCCAAAAUCUUUUUGUUUUUUAGGUAAAAAUAGUUAAGCCAACUCCUCCAGCACAACCACAAAGCAUUGGUAUGAUACAUUUCUUAUAAUUUCAUCAAAGAUCUCUUAUCUUGCAGUUCUCUAUAAACAUAUGUUCAUGUAAAUGGUGUUCAUUCUCCUUUUCAGGGCAGUGAGGAUUUGAAAAGUGAGUGCAUUAAAGGAGCUAGGAGUGGCUGGGUAGUUGAGGAUUUGAAAAGGGAGUGCACUGGAGGAGUCAGGAGCAGUUGAUGAAUCUAUCUUUGAAUGAACAAAUAUUCUGGAUUAUGUACAUAUUUUAGCUUCAUAGAGAAAAAUAGUUCUUGUCUAUAGGAUAUUUUCUUAUUUAUUUUCAUCAUUGCAUGUUUCAUAUGAAUGUUUGAUAUUAUUCAGCUGUGAACUCCACGUACUUUUAGUGGAGACAUUGUUCGUGCUAAUUAAUGCAUUUGAUGUUGUUACUGAGGUUGCCAAUGUUUGCAUAUCGAAUCUAUGAAGUGGAAUGAUGCCUUCAUAUCACAAUAUUAUUUUACCAAUUUGCAUGUGCAACCAUGUCACUAAAAAUAAUUGCAUUUGAAACGAUGAAACAAAAUCGAAAUUAAUCAAAUAAUAUUUGAAGUAAAAUAUUCCAUUUGUAUAAAUAUUCUGAUGGACAUUUAGAGACGAGUAUAAGAGGCGAAUGAAACGUGUCUAUGAGUAGAGACGUAAUAUGAGCAUGCCUAACUUAACGUCUCUACAUGUAGAUACGAUUUUUGAGCAUGCCUAAGACAACGUCUCUACGUGUAGACACGAUUUUAAACGUCCCGGGAAAGCGUCUCAUUCCAUGCCAAGCGUGUCUAUCUGUUUGAGACGGUCCGUGGGGAGACGCUCCAAAGACGCUUUACUAAAAUGGCUCUAUAGUUGGCUAGAGAUGAAAUAGCACGUCGCUAGGUAUGAAAUUGGGCGUGUCUACUGGCUGUUUUUGUUGUAGUGUGUAGGUGAUUAUGUAUUGCUGUACAACUCUCAUUUAAGAUUUUUUGCAGGAAAACUUCUGUCUAAAUGGGAAGGCCCUUACGUUAUCGAGGAGGUCUAUCGUUCCGGUGCCAUAAAAAUCAACAACUUCGAAGGCACAAAUCUGAAGGUGGUGAACGGUCAAAGAAUCAAACAUUAUAUCUCAGGUAAUCCCAUAAAUGUUGAAACCAAUAUUAUUGAAACUGUAACCCCGGAGGAAUACAUAAGGGACACUUUCCGGAACGUUUCAGACUCCGAAAAGGAAUAGGUAUGUGAUACUAUAAGUAAACCGACUCCAAAACAGUUUUUAAGGCAACAUUUCCCCAUUUUAGAAUAUUUAGAAAAAUAGAAAAAUAAGUAGCACUUCAGGAAGGGCACGAGGGCUCCACGAGGGUGGAAGGCGCGCCCUACCCUACUGGGCGCUCCCCCUACCUCGUGGGCACCUCGUGUGCUCUCCGGACUCCGUUUUCGUGCACGCCACAUAUUUUGGUCGGUAAAAAUUCAUUAUAUAAUCUCCCAAAGGUUUUGACUCCCGUAUCACGCAAAAAUCUCCUUUCUUUGUUUCGAGCUAUCCUGCUGCAGAUUUGAGCAACAUGUCGUCCCAGGAUUCGGAAGGAGAGAACUAUGUGGCUGAUUACCUUGCAGAUCCUAAAGUCUAUGAGGAUGUAGAGCAUUGUGGUUGGACUACGGAAGAAGAAGAGGACUAUGAACCUAAGGGAAAGGAGGAGACGAGCUCAGAUGAAGAUGAAAUCCCACUACCUCAACUUGGGGACAUGCAUGUGGAGUUCAAAAAGUCAAGCCUCCCUAAUAGAGUGAAGAAACCUAAGAUCGAGUUUAUCCCUUUUCGCCUCUUGCAGGAAAACAAACAGGAACUAUGCAAAAAGAUACUGAGCCUGGAGCAGGAGAUCGAGGACCUAAGGGACCAAAAUUUUGUCCUCAAGCGUAAAUUAAGGAAGAAGCCUACGCCACCAACAAAAUCACCAUCGUCUCCACCAACAAAAAGACUUGAAUAUCUAGUAUGGGCACCCCCCUUGGCAACUCCCAAGCUUGGGGGAGUGCCCCGGUAUCGUAUCACCAUCACUUUUAUCUUUACCAUUUUUCUUAGUCCGAUCCUUUUGGUAAUAUCUUGAUCUAGUAGAAUAAAAGUUCUUAGUAUGAUCUAUUUGUGAGUUUUGCUUUAUGAUUCCUCUAUGUAAUCGAGUCCGUGAGCUAUAUAAUAAAGAUUAGUGUUGAGUCAAGGGCUUGAUUAUUUUUCCAUGAUCUUAAGUGAAUAAAAGAAAAGAGAAAGAAAUAAAAAGAAACAAAGAGAUCAUAUGGAUCUUAUGGAGAGUAAUGAGCUCACAUAGAAAAAGUAUGAUGAAUAAAAGUUGUUGAGGGUUGACAAACAUAGUUUUGGUCAUCGUUGAAAUUAAUAGGAAGUAAUAAAGAAAGAGAGGUCUUCACAUAUAGAUAU
This 11581-nucleotide long non-coding RNA is filed under the name Triticum aestivum (bread wheat). RNAcentral's name for it is "long non-coding RNA (TAES_LNC014014)". The record is from RNAcentral. Lineage: Eukaryota; Viridiplantae; Streptophyta; Magnoliopsida; Poales; Poaceae.